Molecule: ribosomal RNA, 647 nt
Filed under: uncultured Clostridium sp.
Lineage: Bacteria; Bacillati; Bacillota; Clostridia; Eubacteriales; Clostridiaceae
Description: bacterial SSU rRNA
Rfam family: Bacterial small subunit ribosomal RNA
Source: RNAcentral
GAUGAACGCUGGCGGCGUGCCUAACACAUGCAAGUCGAGCGAUUCACUUCGGUGAAGAGCGGCGGACAGGUGAGUAACGCGUGGGUAACCUGCCUCAUACACAUGGAUAACAUACCGAAAGGUAUGCUAAUACAAGAUGAUAUAAGAGAUUCGCAUGGAUUUCUUAUCAAAGCUCCGGCGGUAUGAGAUGGACCCGCGUCUGAUUAGCUAGUUGGUAAGGUAACGGCUUACCAAGGCGACAAUCAGUAGCCGACCUGAGAGGGUGAUCGGCCACAUUGGAACUGAGACACGGUCCAAACUCCUACGGGAGGCAGCAGUGGGGAAUAUUGCACAAUGGGCGAAAGCCUGAUGCAGCAACGCCGCGUGAGCGAUGAAGGCCUUCGGGUCGUAAAGCUCUGUCCUCAAGGAAGAUAAUGACGGUACUUGAGGAGGAAGCCCCGGCUAACUACGUGCCAGCAGCCGCGGUAAUACGUAGGGGGCUAGCGUUAUCCGGAUUUACUGGGCGUAAAGGGUGCGUAGGUGGUUUCUUAAGUCAGGAGUGAAAGGCUACGGCUCAACCGUAGUAAGCUCUUGAAACUGGGAAACUUGAGUGCAGGAGAGGAAAGUGGAAUUCCUAGUGUAGCGGUGAAAUGCGUAGAUAUUAGGAG